UUGUUAGUCGUGACCCCUUUAGCUAAUCUGUUUGGAACAGGUGGGUGGUACAUUCGCAUGUUGUUUGAUCGAAAGGCGGAACCGUUAGUAUUAUCAUGUUUGCUUUCCUUGGAAAUGAUUCAGCUCUAGGAGCGAAUUAUUAGUUUACUGUUUAUAAUCUGUAUCAUUUUGUAAAUUAUCAUUCCCUGGCUCAUUUUAAUUUUUUUGCAUUCCCUGGCUCAUUUUAAUUUUGUUCCUGUGGUGGAGUAUAACUGUUGUUGUUCCGCCUGUUAAUUUAGUUGACUUUCUCUCCUGAAAUCUAGCCAAACGCAGAAACAAGCACACUGGCGUAUCUGUACCGGCAAGGUCUCUUUUCACACCAUCUAGUCCAAAACCAAAAGCUGUUGUAUUCUCUGAUGAACUUCAAGGCAACAAAAAUGCAGCAGAUAUAUGCAAGCUUCCUUGGGUACCUGCACAAGAUAUACAUGACAUGCAAGCAGAGCCAUAUUAAUAUAGGUACAGCAUACACUACACACCUUUACACUAAGUAUUUACUUUGGGCAGCUCAUCAUCCAUAUUCUUGCAGCUUUAUGUUCCAUCUAAUAUGUAUAGAAAUCAAUGUGUAUUCGUAACCAGACGUGUCAUUAGCUAGUUUAAAUCCUCACAGUAGGCAAUAUAACUUGCCAGCACAUGCCAAUUUGUUUACUUAACCAUACCUUAUAAUGGGUUAGCCCCAUGCACUUACUGUUUAUUCGGUCCAGAACCAAUGGCUGAACCAACUGCUGCACUUUUAGUUCUAUGAUGUGUGUUUGUUGUCACUUGUAGGAUAACUCGAUUAUACUUUCAUUUGACGCAGCUUUCUUUGGACUAAUUUUGCUUGUUUUCACGUGUGUUGCACACAUUUACGUGGUACCUUAGUAUAGUAGUGGUGUGUCCAUGGAUGAUUGCUUGGAAAAUCAACUAAUAUUACUAUCUGUAUUCAUUUGGGAGCUUGCUUUUGAUAACAUAUUAUAAUUUUGAAUGUGUUCUGAUUCUACACAGGUUUGGCAGUUAAUCCAUGUUACUGGAGACUGAAGUUUUUUAGCAGGAAUUACUUGGGUCUGGAAGCUGCCUUCAAUCGUUGUUGUUGGAGAUUAAAAUUAGCUAGCAGUGCAUUUUCUUUUAAGUCAUGUAACUCACUCUUUACAAAAAAAACUUAUAGCGCUUUCUAGAUGUGCUUGGGAUGUUUUGAUAUUAGCUUUGCUUUUUCAAAUUAGAUUUGAUUGUUGGAAAUCUGUAUUGUCAUGUAAACUAUUGCUAUUUUUUGAAGGAAUAUAGUUUGGUUGUCUUGCUGCAAAUUGUGUUGUAUUGAGAAAACAGGCUGUACAAAAAAUGGGGCUAAUAGGUUGGACUAAAAAAACAGGGCAGGACAAA
RNAcentral lists this long non-coding RNA (1392 nucleotides) under Triticum aestivum (bread wheat). Its description in RNAcentral is "long non-coding RNA (TAES_LNC023228)". Lineage: Eukaryota; Viridiplantae; Streptophyta; Magnoliopsida; Poales; Poaceae. The record is from RNAcentral.